GUCUGAGGCCAUAUCACCCUGAACAUGCCCAAUCUCGUCUGGUCUCGAAAGCUAGACAGAGUUGGGCCUGGUUAGUACUUGCCUAGAAGACAGAUCUUCAGAAG
Molecule: ribosomal RNA, 104 nt
Filed under: Castor canadensis (American beaver)
Lineage: Eukaryota; Metazoa; Chordata; Mammalia; Rodentia; Castoridae
Source: RNAcentral